This 388-nucleotide unclassified non-coding RNA is filed under the name uncultured fungus. Its description in RNAcentral is "partial contains small subunit ribosomal RNA, internal transcribed spacer 1, and 5.8S ribosomal RNA". The stretch from base 1 to 73 matches the Rfam family "Eukaryotic small subunit ribosomal RNA", at positions 1759 to 1831 of the family's 1831-position model. The record is from RNAcentral. Lineage: Eukaryota; Fungi.
GCAAACUUGGUCAUUUAGAGGAAGUAAAAGUCGUAACAAGGUUUCCGUAGGUGAACCUGCGGAAGGAUCAUUAUUGAAUACUCUGAUGGGUUGUAGCUGGUCCUUCGGGACAUGUGCACGCCUGUUGUUGUUCUAUUCAUCCACCUGUGAACCAUUUGUAGUCUUCGAGGGCUGGGAGUCACCAAUCAUGAGUCGACAGACUGGAUAAGAGGACUGCAUGCAUCAAUGUGCAGCUUUCCUCAGCAGGUCGCAACCUCCCUCAAAGUCUAUGUUUUUCCAUAUACCACAUUGUAUGUUGUAGAAUGCAUCAAAGGCACUGUGCCUAUAUAAACUAUAUACAACUUUCAGCAACGGAUCUCUUGGCUCUCGCAUCGAUGAAGAACGCAGC